UGUGAGCAUUGUGCUUUGAAGGUGAGCACUUUUUCCAUGAACAUUGUGCUUUGAAGGUGGUGCUGUGUGCAUGAAUGUGUGUGUGAGUUAUGGUUUUGGAGGGAGAGAGAAUAUAUAAUUCAAAAAUAAACAGCAAGAAGAGAUAAAUUCCUUCAGAAAAAAAAUGGGGCAAUUGUCUAGAGGCAGUUUAGUAUCCAUGUUUUUGGUUUUCGUUGUCUAAUAUAUAUAUAAAUUUUUGUUACUUGAUUUCUUAAGGGAGAAAAACAAGUUGCGAUAAGUGAAAGCCACAAAGAUGCAAGUCACUUUUUUUUUUUUUUUUUAA
Molecule: unclassified non-coding RNA, 322 nt
Filed under: Hevea brasiliensis (rubber tree)
Lineage: Eukaryota; Viridiplantae; Streptophyta; Magnoliopsida; Malpighiales; Euphorbiaceae
Source: RNAcentral